This 473-nucleotide ribosomal RNA is filed under the name uncultured bacterium. Its description in RNAcentral is "bacterial SSU rRNA". It matches the Rfam family "Bacterial small subunit ribosomal RNA", at positions 335 to 801 of the family's 1533-position model. The record is from RNAcentral.
ACUCCUACGGGAGGCAGCAGUAGGGAAUCUUCCACAAUGGGCGCAAGCCUGAUGGAGCAACACCGCGUGAGUGAAGAAGGGUUUCGGCUCGUAAAGCUCUGUUGUUAAAGAAGAACACGUAUGAGAGUAACUGUUCAUACGUUGACGGUAUUUAACCAGAAAGUCACGGCUAACUACGUGCCAGCAGCCGCGGUAAUACGUAGGUGGCAAGCGUUAUCCGGAUUUAUUGGGCGUAAAGAGAGUGCAGGCGGUUUUCUAAGUCUGAUGUGAAAGCCUUCGGCUUAACCGGAGAAGUGCAUCGGAAACUGGAUAACUUGAGUGCAGAAGAGGGUAGUGGAACUCCAUGUGUAGCGGUAGAAUGCGUAGAUAUAUGGAAGAACACCAGUGGCGAAGGCGGCUACCUGGUCUGCAACUGACGCUGAGGCUCGAAAGCAUGGGUAGCGAACAGGAUUAGAUACCCUGGUAGGAUAGCG